This 442-nucleotide long non-coding RNA is filed under the name Mytilus galloprovincialis (Mediterranean mussel). The record is from RNAcentral. Lineage: Eukaryota; Metazoa; Mollusca; Bivalvia; Mytilida; Mytilidae.
CAUAAUGCCCCUCUACUAUCGUAGGUGGGGUAUAAAAAGGAAUGAGUCAAAUCAAACCCCCUUAUUUUGAUAGGAGUAAAAAUGGCAAGGUGAAUGGUUUUACUAGAUUUUUAUAAGUUAAUAUAUGUUUUGUUUCUAAUCCUUUGUUUAAUUAUUUAGACAUUUUAGAACAUGGCCCAGUGUUUUAUCUUUAUAAACUACCUCAUUUUGUAACAAAUUCGAUUAGAGAUUACAUUUUUUCCCUUUUUUGUACAAUUUUCAAUUGUGAAGAAAUUUUUAGUUUUCCAUUUCCAUGUACUGCUAGGGUCUUUGAUUUUAUUUUAUUAUGGACCAAAACCAAUUUUUAUGAUUUAUCUUGCUUACUGAUUCUGUUUAUUACUUUUAUUUGGUUUAUUUUGAUAAAGGUAAUAGCCUAAUUGUGCGUGUCUAUGAAUAUAAAUGA